GUUUCUUGAUUAUUUGAAGGGACAUGGCAUCAUUUCUCAAUGGAAGUAUAGAGUUUCUUGAUUAUCUGAAGGAACAUGGCAUCAUUUCUCAAUGGUCUCCACUAGCGACUCCACAACUCAAUGGAGUUUCUAAAAGGAGAAAUCAAACCUUGAUGGGCAUAGUUCGUUCCAUGAUGAGUUAUACUGAUUUACCUAUUUCCUUUUGGGGAUAUGCACUCCUCACUGCAGUUUACUUGCUGAAUCGAGUGCCUUCCAAGUCCAUCUCGAAGACCCCAUACGAAUUGUGGUUUGGCAAAAAGCCAAGGCUUAAUCAUGUUAAGAUUUGGGUUGUCCUGCAUAUGUCCAAAGACCUGAUGCAGAUAUGUAACACUCUGUCCCAAAAAUCACUGUUCAAUUGAUUAUUUAUUGUGAAAUUUCAUUUUUGCCCUCGGGUGUACGGGCACUUUAGCCACUUUUUGUUCGGGAAGGAUUUUGGGGAAUUGAGUGGCGCUGUUGCGUAGAACUCAUGCGGCACGUCCAAUUUCGAGUUGUAACGAAGGAGCAAAGGUUUAGAAACGAAAAGGAUGUAAUGGAAAUUUUCAAAUUUGUUAUUGCUAUAGUACCAGCUACAGUAACCGGGACUGCUUUUUAUUUUUCUCUUUCUUCCCUCCUCCCUCGAUAUUUCUUCUUCCUUUCUUCUCUUACGACAGUACUUCCCGGCCACCAAUCGAUGUCGUCGUGACCGGUUGGCCGUGCCACCUUCACGAAAAGUGUUCCUCUCGUCGUCCUCUUCAAAACCCACCCAAGACCCGGUCUGAUUCGCUGAUGGUGAGCUCGAAUCGAAGCUGAGGAAGGGUUAGGUUUCUUCGGCGGUGUUCUUGCAUUUAUCGGCAAUUUCGGCUAUGGUUUUCGUCGAGUAAGGUAUGAAACUUCAUCAACUCAUCACGCUCUACCUGUUUAUGUAAUUAGUUUGGAUUGAUUUUGAGGUUUUACAGAUCGAUUCUUAAAUCCAUAUUUGGCCGACGGUUUCGGCUUCGAUUCGGCCACUUCCAGUCAGUUUUUGGUCGUGGUCCAAGAACAAAAGUUGAUCCUCUAGUUAGUUUGAAUCUAUUGGUAUAGGUAUUGUAGGGUGUUUUGAGAAAUUUAUGUCGCUGAAAAUUUCUCAAGACGCCCACACACUGCCGGUGGUGGGUGGCAACGCGUGGGUCACUGUGUGGUGGCCCAUUGAGUUCUAAAUUAUUUUCCUUGUCGUCCUGAGCACGACGGUAUCCUUGUCGUCCUAAGGAUAUUUCAUGCAUUAGACUUAUGUUAAAUUCUCAUAAAGGGAAAAUUUAUUGUUUAUUAGUAAA
Molecule: long non-coding RNA, 1328 nt
Filed under: Prunus dulcis (almond)
Lineage: Eukaryota; Viridiplantae; Streptophyta; Magnoliopsida; Rosales; Rosaceae
Description: sRNA ncRNA
Source: RNAcentral